UACGUAGGGGGCAAGCGUUGUCCGGAAUCAUUGGGCGUAAAGAGCGUGUAGGCGGCCAGAUAAGUCCGCUGUGAAAUCUCGAGGCUCAACUUCGAGCUGUCGGUGGAAACUAUCUGGCUAGAGUCCGGAAGAGGAGAAUGGAAUUCCUGGUGUAGCGGUGAAAUGCGCAGAUAUCAGGAAGAACACCCGUGGCGAAGGCGGAUCUCUGGGCCAUUACUGACGCUGAGGAGCGAAAGCGUGGGGAGCGAACAGG
Molecule: ribosomal RNA, 253 nt
Filed under: uncultured bacterium
Lineage: Bacteria
Description: partial 16S ribosomal RNA
Rfam family: Bacterial small subunit ribosomal RNA
Source: RNAcentral